GUGGGGAAUCUUGCGCAAUGGGCGAAAGCCUGACGCAGCCAUGCCGCGUGAAUGAUGAAGGUCUUAGGAUUGUAAAAUUCUUUCACCGGGGACGAUAAUGACGGUACCCGGAGAAGAAGCCCCGGCUAACUUCGUGCCAGCAGCCGCGGUAAUACGAAGGGGGCUAGCGUUGCUCGGAAUUACUGGGCGUAAAGGGCGCGUAGGCGGACAGUUUAGUCAGAGGUGAAAGCCCAGGGCUCAACCUUGGAAUUGCCUUUGAUACGGGCUGUCUUGAGUACGGGAGAGGUGAGUGGAACUCCGAGUGUAGAGGUGAAAUUCGUAGAUAUUCGGAAGAACACCAGUGGCGAAGGCGACUCACUGGCCCGUUACUGACGCUGAGGCGCGAAAGCGUGGGGAGCAAACAGGAUUAGAAGCCCUUGUAGUCC
RNAcentral lists this ribosomal RNA (425 nucleotides) under uncultured bacterium. Its description in RNAcentral is "partial 16S ribosomal RNA". It matches the Rfam family "Bacterial small subunit ribosomal RNA", at positions 354 to 796 of the family's 1533-position model. The record is from RNAcentral.